This 505-nucleotide ribosomal RNA is filed under the name uncultured bacterium. Its description in RNAcentral is "partial 16S ribosomal RNA". It matches the Rfam family "Bacterial small subunit ribosomal RNA", at positions 28 to 507 of the family's 1533-position model. The record is from RNAcentral.
GACGAACGCUGGCGGCGUGCCUAAUACAUGCAAGUAGAACGCACAGUUUAUACCGUAGCUUGCUACACCAUAGACUGUGAGUUGCGAACGGGUGAGUAACGCGUAGGUAACCUGCCUGGUAGCGGGGGAUAACUAUUGGAAACGAUAGCUAAUACCGCAUAAUAUUGAUUAUUGCAUGAUAAUUGAUUGAAAGAUGCUAUUGCAUCACUACCAGAUGGACCUGCGUUGUAUUAGCUAGUAGGUGAGGUAACGACUCACCUAGGCGACGAUACAUAGCCGACCUGAGAGGGUGAUCGGCCACACUGGGACUGAGACACGGCCCAGACUCCUACGGGAGGCAGCAGUAGGGAAUCUUCGGCAAUGGACGAAAGUCUGACCGAGCAACGCCGCGUGAGUGAAGAAGGUUUUCGGAUCGUAAAGCUCUGUUGUAAGAGAAGAACGGGUGUGAGAGUGGAAAGUUCACACUGUGACGGUAUCUUACCAGAAAGGGACGGCUAACUACGUG